UACAGAGGGGGCAAGCGUUAUUCGGAAUUAUUGGGCGUAAAGGGCGCGUAGGCGGCUUUUCAAGUGGCGGGUGAAAUCCCUCGGCUUAACCGGGGAACUGCCUGCCAGACUGGAUUGCUUGAGGCCGGGAGAGGUGAGUGGAAUUCCCAGUGUAGCGGUGAAAUGCGUAGAUAUUGGGAGGAACACCAGUGGCGAAGGCGGCUCACUGGACCGGUACUGACGCUGAGGCGCGAAAGCGUGGGGAGCAAACAGG
This 253-nucleotide ribosomal RNA is filed under the name uncultured Acidobacteriota bacterium. Its description in RNAcentral is "uncultured Acidobacteria bacterium partial 16S ribosomal RNA". It matches the Rfam family "Bacterial small subunit ribosomal RNA", at positions 524 to 776 of the family's 1533-position model. Lineage: Bacteria; Pseudomonadati; Acidobacteriota. The record is from RNAcentral.